AAAUCAACCGAGAUUCCCCCAGUAGCGGCGAGCGAACGGGGAGCAGCCCAGAGUCUGAAUCAGCUUGUGUGUUAGUGGAACGGUCUGGAAAGUCCGACGGUACAGGGUGAUAGUCCCGUACACCAAAAUGCACAGGCUGUGAACUCGAAGAGUAGGGCGGGACACGUGGUAUCCUGUCUGAAUAUGGGGGGACCAUCCUCCAAGGCUAAAUACUCCUGACUGACCGAUAGUGAACCAGUACCGUGAGGGAAAGGCGAAAAGAACCCCGGCGAGGGGAGUGAAAAAGAACCUGAAACCGUGUACGUACAAGCAGUGGGAGCACCUUCGGGUGUGACUGCGUACCUUUUGUAUAAUGGGUCAGCGACUUAUAUUCUGUAGCAAGGUUAACCGUAUAGGGGAGCCGCAGGGAAACCGAGUCUUAACUGGGCGUUAAGUUGCAGGGUAUAGACCCGAAACCCGGUGAUCUAGCCAUGGGCAGGUUGAAGGUUGGGUAACACUAACUGGAGGACCGAACCGACUAAUGUUGAAAAAUUAGCGGAUGACUUGUGGCUGGGGGUGAAAGGCCAAUCAAACCGGGAGAUAGCUGGUUCUCCCCGAAAGCUAUUUAGGUAGCGCCUCGUGAAUUCAUCUUCGGGGGUAGAGCACUGUUUCGGCUAGGGGGUCAUCCCGACUUACCAACCCGAUGCAAACUACGAAUACCGAAGAAUGUUAUCACGGGAGACACACGGCGGGUGCUAACGUCCGUCGUGAAGAGGGAAACAACCCAGACCGCCAGCUAAGGUCCCAAAGUCAUGGUUAAGUGGGAAACGAUGUGGGAAGGCACAGACAGCCAGGAUGUUGGCUUAGAAGCAGCCAUCAUUUAAAGAAAGCGUAAUAGCUCACUGGUCGAGUCGGCCUGCGCGGAAGAUGUAACGGGGCUAAACCAUGCACCGAAGCUGCGGCAGCGACACUAUGUGUUGUUGGGUAGGGGAGCGUUCUGUAAGCCUGCGAAGGUGACCUGUGAGGGUUGCUGGAGGUAUCAGAAGUGCGAAUGCUGACAUAAGUAACGAUAAAGCGGGUGAAAAGCCCGCUCGCCGGAAGACCAAGGGUUCCUGUCCAACGUUAAUCGGGGCAGGGUGAGUCGACCCCUAAGGCGAGGCCGAAAGGCGUAGUCGAUGGGAAACAGGUUAAUAUUCCUGUACUUGGUGUUACUGCGAAGGGGGGACGGAGAAGGCUAUGUUAGCCGGGCGACGGUUGUCCCGGUUUAAGCAUGUAGGCUGGUUAUCCAGGCAAAUCCGGAUAAUCAAGGCUGAGGUGUGAUGACGAGGCACUACGGUGCUGAAGUAACAAAUGCCCUGCUUCCAGGAAAAGCCUCUAAGCAUCAGGUAACAUCAAAUCGUACCCCAAACCGACACAGGUGGUCAGGUAGAGAAUACCAAGGCGCUUGAGAGAACUCGGGUGAAGGAACUAGGCAAAAUGGUGCCGUAACUUCGGGAGAAGGCACGCUGGUGUGUAGGUGAAGUCCCUGCGGAUGGAGCUGAGACCAGUCGAAGAUACCAGCUGGCUGCAACUGUUUAUUAAAAACACAGCACUGUGCAAACACGAAAGUGGACGUAUACGGUGUGACGCCUGCCCGGUGCCGGAAGGUUAAUUGAUGGGGUUAUCCGUAAGGAGAAGCUCUUGAUCGAAGCCCCGGUAAACGGCGGCCGUAACUAUAACGGUCCUAAGGUAGCGAAAUUCCUUGUCGGGUAAGUUCCGACCUGCACGAAUGGCGUAAUGAUGGCCAGGCUGUCUCCACCCGAGACUCAGUGAAAUUGAACUCGCUGUGAAGAUGCAGUGUACCCGCGGCAAGACGGAAAGACCCCGUGAACCUUUACUAUAGCUUGACACUGAACAUUGAGCCUUGAUGUGUAGGAUAGGUGGGAGGCUUUGAAGCGUGGACGCCAGUCUGCGUGGAGCCAACCUUGAAAUACCACCCUUUAAUGUUUGAUGUUCUAACGUUGGCCCCU
This 1988-nucleotide ribosomal RNA is filed under the name Klebsiella pneumoniae. RNAcentral's name for it is "partial 23S ribosomal RNA". It matches the Rfam family "Bacterial large subunit ribosomal RNA", at positions 222 to 2236 of the family's 2925-position model. Lineage: Bacteria; Pseudomonadati; Pseudomonadota; Gammaproteobacteria; Enterobacterales; Enterobacteriaceae. The record is from RNAcentral.